RNAcentral lists this transfer RNA (75 nucleotides) under Candidatus Zambryskibacteria bacterium RIFCSPHIGHO2_01_FULL_43_60. RNAcentral's name for it is "tRNA-Arg". It matches the Rfam family "tRNA". From Rfam's summary of the family: Transfer RNA (tRNA) molecules are approximately 80 nucleotides in length. The record is from RNAcentral. RNAcentral also lists the same sequence under 2 other names. Lineage: Bacteria; Candidatus Zambryskiibacteriota.
GCUCCCAUCGUUCAAUGGAUAGGACAUAACUUUGCGGAAGUUAAAAUGGAGGUCCGAUUCCUCCUGGGAGCACUA